ACUCAAAGGAAUUGACGGGGGCCCGCACAAGCAGUGGAGUAUGUGGUUUAAUUCGAAGCAACGCGAAGAACCUUACCAGGUCUUGACAUCGAGUGACGAGCUAAGAGAUUAGCUUUUCCUUCGGGACACGAAGACAGGUGGUGCAUGGUUGUCGUCAGCUCGUGUCGUGAGAUGUUGGGUUAAGUCCCGCAACGAGCGCAACCCUUAUUGUUAGUUGCUACGCAAGAGCACUCUAGCAAGACUGCCGUUGAUAAAACGGAGGAAGGUGGGGACGACGUCAAAUCAUCAUGCCCCUUAUGACCUGGGCUACACACGUACUACAAUGGCAAUCAAACAGAGGGAAGCCAAACAGCGAUGUUGAGCAAAUCCCAAAAAAUUGUCCCAGUUCGGAUUGUAGGCUGCAACUCGCCUACAUGAAGUCGGAAUUGCUAGUAAUCGCAGGUCAGCAUACUGCGGUGAAUACGUUCCCGGGCCUUGUACACACCGCCCGU
RNAcentral lists this ribosomal RNA (491 nucleotides) under uncultured bacterium. RNAcentral's name for it is "bacterial SSU rRNA". It matches the Rfam family "Bacterial small subunit ribosomal RNA", at positions 899 to 1397 of the family's 1533-position model. The record is from RNAcentral.